AAAUCCGUCGAUUUUUAAAAUCGUGAGGGUUCAAGUCCCUCUAUCCCCA
RNAcentral lists this transfer RNA (49 nucleotides) under Koenigia islandica. RNAcentral describes it as "partial tRNA-Leu". Lineage: Eukaryota; Viridiplantae; Streptophyta; Magnoliopsida; Caryophyllales; Polygonaceae. The record is from RNAcentral. RNAcentral also lists the same sequence under 3 other names.